Triangularia verruculosa is the source of this 140-nucleotide non-coding RNA. The record is from the annotation of a GenBank genome assembly. NCBI's taxonomy places the organism in Eukaryota, Fungi, Ascomycota, Sordariomycetes, Sordariales, Podosporaceae.
GGGCGUAUGGUCUAGUGGUACGACGUCUCAGUUGCAAAAUAAGUCCAUUGCUUUGAAACUGUUCGAAUGAUGUAACAGGUGCAAGGUUACGGAUACAUAGCUCCUUGAGAAGGUCCCGGGUUCAAACCCCGGUACGUCCA